This 80-nucleotide transfer RNA is filed under the name Bacillus sp. UFRGS-B20. Its description in RNAcentral is "tRNA-Ala". Lineage: Bacteria; Bacillati; Bacillota; Bacilli; Caryophanales; Bacillaceae. The record is from RNAcentral.
GGGGCCUUAAGCUCAGCUGGGAGAGGCGCUGCCUUGCACGCAACGGAGGUCAGCGGUUGCGAUCCCGCUAGGCUCCACCA